CGGGGUGUAGCGCAGUUGGUAGCGCGCUUGCUUUGGGAGCAAGAUGCCGCAGGUUCGAAUCCUGUCACUCCGACCA
RNAcentral lists this transfer RNA (76 nucleotides) under Clostridia bacterium. Its description in RNAcentral is "tRNA-Pro". It matches the Rfam family "tRNA". Rfam says of the family: Transfer RNA (tRNA) molecules are approximately 80 nucleotides in length. Their secondary structure includes four short double-helical elements and three loops (D, anti-codon, and T loops). Lineage: Bacteria; Bacillati; Bacillota; Clostridia. RNAcentral also lists the same sequence under 3 other names. The record is from RNAcentral.